GUUUUAAUAGUUUAUAAAAAAUAUUGAUUUUGUAAAUCAAAGAAAAAUAAUUAUUUUUAAAACU
RNAcentral lists this transfer RNA (64 nucleotides) under Megabeleses liriodendrovorax. Its description in RNAcentral is "tRNA-Thr". The record is from RNAcentral. Lineage: Eukaryota; Metazoa; Arthropoda; Insecta; Hymenoptera; Tenthredinidae.